RNAcentral lists this ribosomal RNA (290 nucleotides) under uncultured bacterium. Its description in RNAcentral is "partial 16S ribosomal RNA". It matches the Rfam family "Bacterial small subunit ribosomal RNA", at positions 773 to 1060 of the family's 1533-position model. The record is from RNAcentral.
GUGGAUUAGAUACCCUAGUAGUCCACGCUGUAAACGAUGAGUGCUAGAUGCUGCGGGUAUUGACCCCCGCGGUGUCGAAGCCAACGCGUUAAGCACUCCGCCUGGGGAGUACGGCCGCAAGGCUAAAACUCAAAGGAAUUGACGGGGGCCCGCACAAGCGGUGGAGCAUGUGGUUCAAUUCGACGCAACGCGCAGAACCUUACCUGGGUUAAAUCCACUCGAACUUGGCAGAGAUGCCUUGGUGCCUUUCGGGGAGCGAGUGAGAAGGUGCUGCAUGGUCGUCGCCAGCU